UCUGCUUUUUUUCCUCCAUUGCCUAGUUCUCUGGUACCUAAACUGACAUAGCACAGGAAAAAUGAGUUUCCCAGCUUGUCCUUCUCCUGCAUCUGAAGUUCGUAGAGUGCACAGCACCAGCGCUCUGCUCUUACCUCCCUUCCAGGAGUUUGCCGGGACUUUGACAUUUCUCCCAGGAUGAAGAAAACCAACAAAUGGAAAGAUGAGGGAAAGAAGAAAUAGUAUCCACUUGCCUCACUGGUCACCAUUUUAAGAGGGUGGAGAGAUCCUCCUGGAGAACCAAGCCAGAAGGGAGGAGAACAGAGUCAAGAGCUAGAGAUCAAGUUUUGUUGGCCAUCUGGGGGUACCUGCAUUCAACUGUGGUUGAAGAAAAGUGCAAAUCCUGGGUUAUCUUCUAACAUAAAUCUAGACCAAACUAGAAGGAAACCACAACAGAAUAAAUAAACAGAACAUUCUUACUCA
Homo sapiens (human) is the source of this 462-nucleotide long non-coding RNA. RefSeq lists it as uncharacterized. The transcript has 2 exons. The record is from RefSeq and is a predicted model, not a curated record. NCBI's taxonomy places the organism in Eukaryota, Metazoa, Chordata, Mammalia, Primates, Hominidae.